Molecule: long non-coding RNA, 1840 nt
Organism: Carassius auratus (goldfish)
Lineage: Eukaryota; Metazoa; Chordata; Actinopteri; Cypriniformes; Cyprinidae
Exons: 4
Source: RefSeq, a predicted model, not a curated record
UUUGCCUGCCAACAUUCAUACUGCCUUUAAAAUAGUGAUCAGAGAGCUCAAGUUAUUAUAGAGUGUUAAAUCUCAUAUUUGUUAAAAAGUCAUAUUUUUCAUUCUGUAAUGAGACCAAACACUAACCUACCUGUGAUGGGUGUGGUGAUGCAUGUGAGAAGAUCUUGGAUGGAAAAACUCUUUUCCAAACUGUUUUUAAAUCCAUUCAGUUUGGAUUUGCAGGUCAGAAUUCCCUCAAAAGUCGAGACGCCAGCAAGAAGCCCUGUAAAACAACCACAGACAGAGGUGCCUGCCUCAUUUUACUGUGACAAUCAUGCACAUAUGCUUAAUACGUGGUUGUAUUUUUGCAGAAUCUGCUCCCUGCCCCCACGGUUCUUCCAUUAGUUUUCGAGUUGGAUCUUUCUAAAUGUUUCCAGUCAGUCCUGAUUCACGUGCAGAUGCUCUGGGAGCUCGUGUUGCUAGGAGAGCCCGUGGUUGUUAUGUCACCCUCUCCAUCCGUCUCUUCAGAGACUGUGUUGGCCAGGUCAGGCCCAAUGUGACACUUGGUGUCACAAACCCUUUAUUUAUAAAGACCUUUCAGUGCUGGCCACACAUUAUUCACCUCGGAGACCUGAAGAUGUCUGGUAAAUUAUGCUCCAUUUUAGCAGCAAGGCUCAUCUGACAGCCAUUUUUUUAAACAUGAUUUUGGCAUAUUGCACAAAAGAGGAAUGGAGUUUCUUUCCAGGUGAUUUACCAAAGCAAGGUCAAGAAACUGGCUAAAAACACUGGACACUAAAACAGACCCCUCCUCAGAUGCGGUCUUUCAGUGAGGAUGAGUUCAUGAAGACCCUGGAGCAAGCAGGUCCACCCACAACUAACUCUGAAAGGAGUUUGGACAGGUCUGUACAGGUAACAUGCCAGGGCUGCGUUUCCCAAAAGCAUCAUAAACCCAUUGGCAUCAAUAAUCUGUACAAUCUUAUCUAGGCUUAUGCUCCUUUGAUGAGAAACAGCCCAGGAUAUGGGGGAACUAAAAACUUCCUGUUAAUUGUGCUUAUAAUCAAUGUUUAUAUAUGGCGUUCAGGCGUUUCUUCCAAACUUUGAUGGCUGGUAUCUGCUCAGGCACAGAGAGAUGACUCAGAAAGUGGAAUGUCUUCAUUUAGAGGCGAUCUGCGCGGCUGUGAGUAUGAUUUUGGAUCUAGAUUUGGUCAUUGCUUAUAAAACUAUACUUCAUAAAUCUUUAAUUUUAUUUUCAUUUCAGAGUGAAUGUUUAAAGGAUUCAUUCACCCAGAAAUUAUACGCUCUCAAGUCGUUUCAAACCCAUAUGAUUUCUUCUGUUUAACACAAGAAGAUAAAUUAUUUGAGAAAUUGAACUGGGCCCAGCAGUCUUUAGAAAUCAGCACAGCUCAGUACAAGUCAAACUAUGGUAUGUUGACAAUAUUGUGGCUCAACAAUGAUUUUAUGUUAUGGACAUUUUAAGACUUAUAAUAAAAUAUGUUCGCAAUGGAUACAGGCCUAUGAAGCUGACUUCAUUUGGUAUCAAAACUAAUAUGGUGGUAAUUAGCCUAGGCUAUUUUGUAAUGUCAUUAAAGAGUUUACAUUGGCAAUCAACUUCUGGCAAACAAUUUGGCUCUAAACGGCUUAGAUCUAUAAAUGGGUAAGCAUGGUGGUGUCCAGUAAGCGACCAACUAUGGCAGCGAUCCAACGUGUCCUUGUAUUGAAUAAAAAGACGGCGCCGGCCGAGGAGCCAUAUUCUGUAUCUCUCUCUCUGUGUUCAUUGUAGAUAGGUUGCUUUUUAUUGAAAACAUUAACCAAUGGCAAUCAAAACCACAUUAAACAGAAGUAACUGCAGCUGAUUGGCAAU